RNAcentral lists this long non-coding RNA (1900 nucleotides) under Mus musculus (house mouse). RNAcentral's name for it is "jun proto-oncogene, opposite strand". Lineage: Eukaryota; Metazoa; Chordata; Mammalia; Rodentia; Muridae. The record is from RNAcentral.
GAACUUGGGUAAGCCGCCUCAGCCUGCUAGGAGGUGCCCUCCAAAGCCUCCUUCUCACCUUUUUGUUCUUGGUUACCAUGCAAAGAGAAAAAGAUAGUUUUGUUCUUGGCAUCCUGGCCUGGAGUGUCUGAGAAACAGCAAGUUUUCCCCAGACAUCGGUUCUGUAUUUCCCAUCGGAGCGAGUCCAGCGAAGAGCAGCAUGUUAAGACAUUAACUGCCCAAGAACCUUGAUAAACAAAACAAUAUGACCAUCUUUAUCUCCAUUUGAAUGUGACAUGGCUUCUUCAGACAUCAGCUGUUUUUAUCUGCAGAACAGUGCUCUGACUUAGGCAGAGCAAGCACUCUGAGAAGCCUCACUCACAGAGGAGGAAACUGAGGUCCAAGAUGGAUUCUCUGUAUCUGUGAUUCCAUGGCCCAACUGUCCAGAAGCAGAACACCCUCAACUCCAAAGCCAAGGCCCUACAGGAAGCCAGGCUGUUUCCUUGGAUUUCUUUGUCUGUGAAAUGAAGCAAAACUACACUGCUUGGAUGGAGUGAGAAAAGGACGAGCUCAGUGAGAGCAAGCGACUUUCCCAACAUUAUGGAGAGAGGAGAUGCUGUUACUGGUACCGUCCUGGACCAAGGUCAGCACACUUGGCUGACUAAGCUCAGGAGGCAGUAAGCAGGCUCCGAAAAGCAGUUGCGGGCAGUGCAUGCAGUCUCUUCAUUGUCAAAACAACAGUAGGCUUCAUGCAGCCAAAUGAGUUCUCUUUAAUACCUUGAAAGGACCCUGGAAAAGCCUUGGGCCUGCGCAGAGUGACAAGGCCAAGAGAAAUCCUUCACCCUGUCCGUCUUUACUUAGCACCUCCCGUUUUGAUGUGAAGUUUCUAGGUUUUGUCAUGGCCACUGUGGUUGCUAUAGAAACAGAGCAACAAAUAUUUGGAGGCCAGCAACACCUUUCCCCCAGAAGCCCAGUCAAGAAUGUUUGGGAGCAGGCCCCUGCCCAUCAGGCUGCUGUUGUUGCAGUUGAAUGCAGCCUUUGUGAUUAGCCUUCUGGCCUGCCACCAGGCUCCAAAGAGAUGACUAGGCUCAGAUCUCUUUAAAUAGUGUUUGUGUUUCAGUCAUCCAUAAGGAGGGGUGGGUGGGAAGCUCAGUCUCACUGUGCGGAUAUCAUUCAGGAGAGCAGAGCCAGGGUGCUGUGAGCGGUGUAUACUGCCCUUCACCAGGAGCAGCACUCAGGAGGCUCUGCUCGCAGCAUCCUGCAAUGUCCUGGCUAGGGAAGUCCGUGUUAGCACUGUCAUCCUGUAGGUGAGAAGAUGGGUACUGGUGGAAGACACAGAUGCUUCAGGUUAGCAACUAGCAAAGAGGAUAGUGCCGUGGCUGAGUUGUCUCGAGGCUAGGAUCAGUAUGGGCACUUUUCAAAGUUCCUUCGAGUUUAAUGUGAUAGAGGCUGGAAUUCUUCACAGUCUUUUACGUUGUACUACACAGAGUCUGCACAAGACUCAGUCGUUUGUGAGAAAAUGAAUACAGUGGAAUGGCAAAACUCGGCUUUCACUGGGAGCUGAUUUUAUUUGUCCGUGGGAACUUGAUUUGCUUACUUAUCAUGGCUGAUGGGCAUUAUGUGAUUUUACUGCAAUGUGAGAGCCCAGAGCUUCCAUCUGGCACCAGCUCCGCCAGGGAGUGAGGAGGCAGUGAAGGAAAUUUGACUUAAUGGCAGGUGUUACCUGGACAGAUAGAAAGGUACCAUUGUCUCCUCUGCAAUAAACUGCCCACCUUUCACCUGCUGUCAAAUUGCAAAUUCACUUACCAUUAAAGCCCUGGGCCAUUACUUCAUUCAUUUAGCAAGAGUUUAUUAAAUGUCUACUGAGGGUCAGGCACUGGACUAAGCGCUGGGGAGAGAAAAAUAAACAACAUUUGUCUGA